RNAcentral lists this ribosomal RNA (930 nucleotides) under uncultured Acidobacteriota bacterium. Its description in RNAcentral is "bacterial SSU rRNA". It matches the Rfam family "Bacterial small subunit ribosomal RNA", at positions 8 to 916 of the family's 1533-position model. Lineage: Bacteria; Pseudomonadati; Acidobacteriota. The record is from RNAcentral.
AGAGUUUGAUCCUGGCUCAGAAUCAACGCUGGCGGCGUGCCUAACACAUGCAAGUCGAACGCGAAAGGGGCUUCGGCCCUGAGUAGAGUGGCAGACGGGUGAGUAACACGUGGGUGACCUACCCUUGAGCGGGGGAUAACGUUUCGAAAGGAACGCUAAUACCGCAUGACAUCCUGCCUUUGAAGAGGCGGUGAUCAAAGCCGGGGACCGCAAGGCCUGGCACUCGAGGAGGGGCCCGCGCCCGAUUAGCUAGUUGGUGGGGUAACGGCUCACCAAGGCGACGAUAGGUAGCCGGCCUGAGAGGGCGGACGGCCACACUGGGACUGAGACGCGGCCCAGACUCCUACGGGAGGCAGCAGUGGGGAAUUGUUCGCAAUGGGCGCAAGCCUGACGACGCAACGCCGCGUGGAGGAUGAAGAUUUUCGGAUCGUAAACUCCUGUCGAACGGGACGAAUGGCUCGGCCGUGAAUAAUGGCCGGGAAUGACGGUACCGUGAGAGGAAGCCCCGGCUAACUCCGUGCCAGCAGCCGCGGUAAUACGGGGGGGGCAAGCGUUGUUCGGAAUUACUGGGCGUAAAGGGCUCGUAGGCGGCCAACUAAGUCUGACGUGAAAUCCCUCGGCUCAACCGGGGAACUGCGUCGGAUACUGGAUGGCUUGAAUCCGGGAGAGGGAUGUGGAAUUCCAGGUGUAGCGGUGAAAUGCGUAGAUAUCUGGAGGAACACCGGUGGCGAAGGCGGCAUCCUGGACCGGUAUUGACGCUGAGGAGCGAAAGCCAGGGGAGCAAACGGGAUUAGAUACCCCGGUAGUCCUGGCCCUAAACGAUGAGUGCUUGGUGUGGCGGGUAUCGAUCCCUGCCGUGCCGAAGCUAACGCAUUAAGCACUCCGCCUGGGGAGUACGGUCGCAAGGCUGAAACUCAAAGGAAUUGACGG